CCGUGACUCAUCCGGACCGCGCCCCUCCCCCUCUGCGCGACGGGGGGCACGUGAGCGCGCGUCGCGCUGCUUUCUAAUUUUAGCUCCGGCCGCUCUGGCGGGGUCAGGCGAGGAAGCUACUGGAGGGGGUGCUCUCUCAAAAUGAGGGAACGAAUCAGGAGGAAGGCGUGAGAUGCUGGAACCAGGGACUCGCACUAGUGUUCCAAAGGAGUAGAGGGUUCAGGAUCCAGACACAGGCUCUGCACAGGGAGAUACUGACUGCCUGAACCCGGCCAUUCAGACGCGCACAGUCCAGUGAGAAGACUGGCUGGCAAGCAGACCACGACAGCACAGAGAUGAAGGGCCUGCUGGGGUCUGUGCAGGGACUGUGGGGGCCCUGGGCAGGGGGCAGUCCUGUGCUUUGUAGGAUGAUAAGCAGCAUCCCAGGCCUCAACCCACUAGGUGCCAGUAGCACCCCACCCCCAAAUUAGGACAACCAAAAAUAGCUACAGAUAUUGCCAAAUGCCCCUUUUUACAAAUGUCACUCAACUUAUUUGACCAAUUUUAUUUUGGGGAGAAACACCUGUUAACCCUGCAAGUAACCUCCCUGUUCAUUCUGAAUACUCUGGGAAGCACUGUUUCUGGACAAAGCCCACAUUCCCUGCCACAGAGUCCAGGCCCUUGGGAUCUGGGUCCUGCCUGGCCCUCUGGCCGCGCCCCACCCCACAUUGGUCCCUACCUUUGGCUCCAGUAAAGCCCAGCAGUUUGUAGUCGCUUAUGCACACUCUGCAUUUCGUCUUGGGCCUUUGCCUGGGCUGCUCCCGCUGCCUGGACUGCCCUUCCCGCCUGUGCUCACCUGGCUCACAGAUCCAUUCUUCAGGAUCCCACUUGGGCUCCAUCUCCUGCAGGAAAGCUCCCCUGAAGCCCACACAGGGCUGGGCGGCCCACUGUGCUCCCGAGCGCUCAGAGCAGCUGCAGCCUCAGCGCUUCCUGCCUCUGAGACCUUAGACAGGACCUAUCGUCCCCUAGUCCUCUAGUCCAGGUAGUUCGGGGUUAUGGGCCCACUGCUUCCACUUGACCUACAAGGCAGAGAGACUCUUGUCCUUUCAUCCCGAGAACCUGGCAAAGUGUCUGGCACAGAGUGGGUGUUCAGUAAAGGUCAAAAUGAAUCGACAAGUAAGUAGAACAAAAAGGUGGAUGAGAUAAAGGGAGUGAGGGCAAGAGAACACAGGCAGAGAGGAAGGAGAGACCCAACGGGGAGGACUCUGCUUCACAGCACAGGAAGGGAUGAUUAAGUUGCUGGCCCCUCAUCCCUGUGUCUCCUUCAGGCUAAAUACUUCAAUUGCCUUAACCUUUCAUCUCACAUCCAUCUCAUUUUCCAACCCUCUAAUCAUCUUUGUCAUUCACACCCCUCCCUGCCUUCUCCACAGUUUCCAGAGGCUGCUUCUGUGCUUAAUGUGACCUGUGCAGAGCAGCAGGAACAUAAAACCUGUUUCCCCAGAGCAUCUUUCACUUAAUUAGCUGGAGACUUCACAGGUCCCCGAGCCUCACCAUCCCCUGACAGGGCUGUUAGCGGAGCCCUGACUCUGGGCCCUGGCAAAUUGUUUUCACAGAGAAGGGAAUAGAGAGAAUUAAAUCGGUGAAUAUGCUAAUUGUUUCCUUUUUUGUGUCAGGGAUUGCCCCACAGGAAAGCCAGCUUCUGAGGCUGGGAGGGUGGGCAAGAUGGAGGUGCAGGGUUUGGAGGCAGAAGCCCAGGGGCCCAGGCCUGGACAGGCUCAGUGCGCUGAGCUGCGGUGUGGAAAGUCUGCAUGUGAGACAUCGCAGGGAUGUGGCAUCUCGGCAGAGUUAGCACCUUCAACUGUGCUGCGGCGAGAUCGGGGUGCAGGUGCUACGCAAGUUCUAGGCUCUGGCAUCUACACGGUCCUGGGAGGAAGAUAUGCUCUCCACUUGACAGAUGGCAAAGCUACGGGGAAACAACCCAUUGAUGAAGGGACAGCCCCGAGGUCAACCACUAGGAGGGAAGGAAGAGAAGCAGAAAGGGGGUUGUUCCAAGCUCGUCUGCAACUCCCAGUGCAGACGGGUUCCGUUUCCGGGCGGUCCCUUCUCGUGGAGGACUCUCGGUAGCAGUGAUGGCAGAGGAGGCAGCGUGGGGCAGAAGCCCUUAGCAGCUCUGACAUCGUAACAAGGCCUGGUGUGUGGCCGGGCGGCCUCGGACCACCCGCCUGUCGCACCCUGGCUAGCCUGUUGGCCUCUCUAGUUCAGGUUUGAGCCUGUGCUUUCUGGAGGCCUUUACAUGUUCCCUGCAUCCGGCCUGCCGGGGCAGCGCCACCUCCGCUCCCACGUGGACCCUCACCAACAGCCCAGACAAUUCCUGCCACCCUGGCUUCUGUUUAUCAUUGCACUGGUGGGUUUUCGUCAGUCGUUCCAUCUGUCAGUCUGUCACUCAUCAAAUGUCUGUGGAGGGCCAGGCACUGUUCUGGGUGAUGAAGAAACGGGGGAGUGGGGUCAAGCUUCUGCCCUCAGGCAGAUUGCCCCCAUGCUCGUGGGGCGGGGUGGGGUAGGGACGAGUUUAGUGCAAGGGACACUAGGGACCCUGUGGGCUCCAGGGCCUGCUUUGCUUUUUACUGAAGUCCAGCUCCACUGCAGACACACAGGUAGCUUUGAGGUGGGCAGUCCUGAGGAGGCUGCUGCCUGGGCUGUUGCCACCUGGGCUGCCACCCCCGGGAUGCAAGUAGCAGGAGAUGCCUCUCGCUAACCACUGCCCCCUCCCCCCCACACACACACACUCACAGAAACUCAGCAGUGCUCAGGGAGAGACCCGGGAGGCUCCUGGGGGACACAGGGCCUGCCAGUUCAGCCUUUGCUGUGGGUAGAGGUCAUUUCGCCUGGAUAAGGUUUCCAAACCUGCUCUGGCCACACUUUAUGCCAUGCUGGCAUGAGGCAGCAGGUAGAGAGGUUAAUAACACAGUUGGACACCCAGGUACAGGCUGGGGCAAGUGACCUGGCCUCUCUGUGCUUGUUUUCCUCUGUGAAGCAGGGCCUGCACUAGGCCUGUUCACAGGUUGUGUGUGGAUUAACAGAGACGCCCCGCGUUAGCAUGGAGGGCAUGCAGUGAGGGCUCAGUAAAUAACAGCUUGGUUGCCUCACUGCACCCUCCAGAAGAAGUCCUCGUUCUCCCUUCUUGCUCACACCUCCUUGGCAACUGUCCAGAGUCCAGAGACUGAGCUGCCUGGAAGAAUGCAGUGACAAAAAUACUUGGCCACGUUCAGAACUUCCCUGCUGGCAGCUGGUCCUUGAUCGUGGGCUUCCCCUGGGAGCUGCGUGUUGGAGAAUGAAUGCAGAGUGAGACCUAGGUUCAAAUCCUGAUCUGUUGUGCUCCUGGUGGCGGCCUUGGGAAGUCACUCGAAUUUUCCCAGCCUCAGUUUCUACCCCUGUCAACUAGGGAUAAUAACGUCUCCCCCAAAUGCUAGUCGGGAGUAAGUGAUAUAAUGUGGAAGCGGCCACCUUUCUUAUUCGAAAGAAAGAAUGACAGGACACAGUGUCAGAGGGGAGGACAACAGUAAGCCAGGUGAGGUGGUGACGUGCUGAAGGGAAGCACGUGGCCCUUAACUGGAGCAGCAAUACUAACUGCCUCACUUGCUCCGUGCUGGCACUGUGCCGGUAGCCCUUUCCCUAACGUAGCUCACUGAAUCUUUGCAAAACCUUCAUGAGUUGACUAUUCUCCACCUUUCAUAGAUGAUGAAAGGAGAGGCUAGAGAGAUGAAGAAGCCUGCCUAAGGUGGUCCAGCUUGGACGUGGCGUAGCCGGAGUCAAACCUCAGCUGUCUGCCACAAAGGCUGCCUGUGGGAGGAUGGAGGCAGGGUCUGUCCCAGCUGGGCCUGGGGUUCUGAGUCACUACAUCCCUCAUCUGUUAAGUGGGUAUAACCAUUCCAGCUCCAAAAAAGGAAUGUGUGGCAUUGACUGGAUGUUCCUCGCCCCUCUCCAGCCCUCGGUGGGAAACAGUUUAUAAACAGAGGAUUACCUUUUGGCCCUGCUGCCUUGAGCCAGAUCUCUUGCAAUACCAAAUUCCUGGAAUGGUUCAGUGACAAGUGUGUUAUUAGGAGGAAAUUGAUGAUGCCUUAUUGAGAGUGAGUCACCCAAUCCCUGUGCUGAGAGGCACAGGGGAAAGGGGCUUUCUCCAGAGAGGCUUAACUCGGGAACCCUAGCCCCCAGCUGUCCUGGACCUGGCUACCUGCCCAGGCCCCCGCCAGAGGUUCAGUACCAGUGACAAGGGUGGGUUAGGGCAAGGGGGAAGGGAGGCAGCCUCCAGCUGGGGGAAGAUGGUCCCCUGUGGUGGAUUUGUGGAGACCUCACACUGGCAUGACAGGCUCCAGAAUUCUCUUUCUGCUUGCCACCGAAUUACCCAGGAUGCUUUUGAGUAGAGCUCCAGGUCACUCCCUAGCUGCUCUCCAAGAGUUUUGGACAAGCCUCCCCAGGAAUGGCUCAGUCAACAAAUAGUUCACAGAGGUUGGGUGAACCUUCUUCUCUCUGCCUUUGAGUCACAAAAGAGGGAGAUGAUAAAGGAUUAACCUUGAAAGGGAAGAAGGUUUAGCUUAGCUGUUACAGCUCUGCUGGGUUUGUUUCUUUUCUUUAAAAAUGAUACACUAGUACAUUCAUGAGAAAAACUCCACCCUUAAAAGUUGGCUGUUUUGGUCACAAAUGUGACUGUAAUAGAAGAACCAGUCAAGGAAUAGCAGGUGAUUUUCUUAGAUGUCACUGCAAGUCACCAGAUAAGGCCAGCCUUUCCCUGUCUGCUGCUGGGUGCAGUGUGAGGGAUUUCUUUGAUGUACCCAGCCCGGAAGUUAGGAUGGAGCAUACACACAGAGGGCUCAGGACACCUGGACUGCCUGACAGACAGUGAAAAUGCCCACAGCAUGAACAAAGUGACAACCAGCUCACUUCACUGGGAGUCCGUUUUCUAGUCAUCCAAAUUUUGCAAGCAGCUAGGCCAGCCUGGAUGCAAAAGCAGGCGACUGGGCAGCAAAACGGGGACCCAUAGUGUCAUUCACUAUGAAGCUCGCCCACCUCCGCCACAGGACAGCCCACCUGGCUCUUCUUCAGGUCCCUCUGACCUACUUCAAUCAGAGUCCUAACAUGAUAGACAAUUUUAUUUCUCAACCCAAGCCACAUUAGAAGCACAUUGGUUGGAAGGGUGGGCGAGUCUCUAGACCCGAGAUGUUCAACAUUUAGGGGGUUAGUGACCUCUCUGAAGAUUUAACAAAAGCUGUGAUGUCUAGAUCACAGAAAAACGCAUAUACACUCAUGUGCUCCAUGCAUCAUCAAGCGGUUCUUAGGCCCCUGAGGCUGACUGACCCAUGGAAUCCAGGUUAAGGAUCACAGCUGGAGAGAUAGGCACGCCUGUGGGCUGGCUGCGUGAGCCCUAGAGAGCAGGCGCAGCGACUUUUAACCCUGCUGCCAGGUCCUCACUGUAUGGAGCAAACCCCUCCCCAACCCACCCGCACCUGACCAGGUGGUGUUCCCCAUCAGAAUGGCCCUGUCGGAAGUGAGCUAUGCUGGUGCCUCCACCUAAGAAAGCAGGAUAUACACAAACACUUUACUGAGCACGUGUGACGUACCAGGUACUCUUCUAGGUGCUUUAUCCAUUUUAAUUCAUUGGAUCCUCGCAACAGCCCCAUGAAGUAUUUAUGUAAAGAGCCUGGAUUUAAAUUAGACUCUUUCUCAAAUUCCAUCUCCAGUGAUUCAAGUAUUAGAGAUGUGAUAUUUUCCCAGAAAAAUCACUUAUUUUCACUGCUGAAUGCUGCUUUGUAUCAAACAUUGGGCUAAGUAUGGGUUUUACAUGUGUUAAUUCACAUAUUAUACACAAAACCAUAUCUUAUAGUAAGGAAACUGAGGCUCAGAGAGACUAAGUAACAUACCUAAGAUAAUAGGGCUAAGACAUGGUGGAACUGGGAUUUGAUGCCAAGUUCCUCCGAUACUAAAUGCUUUGAUAAGAGUUAUUGAGCUCUACUCCUCUCCUCGAUGUGGGGUUGUGCUGUAUAUACUUACGGCUACCUGGGACCAUGGGGAUUUGAUGAGCAAAACUCUCAAAAGAUCUUAAAUUAAGGUCCAGGACAGACUCUGGUGGUGUGCGGUAAUACAAGGAGCACGGGAAGACUUCCAGUUAAAGAAAGCGGAUGGAUCUGCAUUUAUGUCUUCUGUAGCAUAGAUUUUUUUUUUAUAAAGAAGGCUGCAACAGUUUCUCCUAUCCCUACAUACAUACCCCUUUACCGUGUGACUUUGCCACUCCUCCCAUCAAGAGAAAACAUCUUGAGCCUGGGCUGACUUGCUUUGACUGAUAGAAUUCAGUGGAAGUAAUGCUGCCUGACUCCUAAGGCAAGGCCUUAGGAGACCUUGCAGCUUCUGCCUUUAACCUUUUGGGACAUUGCUGAGUUCACCCCUUAAGGAAGCUGGUUAAGCUUCUUGGAAGAUGAGGGGCCAGUGGAGGAGAACUGAGGCACCCCAGCCAACAGCCAGCACCAACCACCAGACAUAUGUAUCUUCCAGCCCAGCCAACUGCUAAAUGGAUGUUGCAUGAGUGAGCCCAGGUGAAGCAACAGAACCACCCAA
Long non-coding RNA from Hipposideros armiger (great roundleaf bat), 6585 nucleotides. RefSeq lists it as uncharacterized. The transcript is spliced from 4 exons. The record is from RefSeq and is a predicted model, not a curated record. Lineage: Eukaryota; Metazoa; Chordata; Mammalia; Chiroptera; Hipposideridae.